This 114-nucleotide transfer RNA is filed under the name Candidatus Woesearchaeota archaeon. Its description in RNAcentral is "tRNA-Ile". The stretch from base 56 to 114 matches the Rfam family "tRNA". Rfam says of the family: Transfer RNA (tRNA) molecules are approximately 80 nucleotides in length. Lineage: Archaea; Nanobdellati; Candidatus Woesearchaeota. The record is from RNAcentral.
GGCCCCGUAGCAUAGCCUGGAGAUCCUUCCCCUUUCCCUGUAAGAAAGGUAAUCGGGCAUUGGUGCGUCCGACUGAUAAUCGGAAGGUCCGGAGUUCAAAUCUCCGCGGGGCCA